ACCUACGGGGCGCAGCAGUAGGGAAUCUUCCACAAUGGGCGAAAGCCUGAUGGAGCAACGCCGCGUGGGUGAAGAAGGUCUUCGGAUCGUAAAACCCUGUUGUUAGAGAAGAAAGUGCGUGAGAGUAACUGUUCACGUUUCGACGGUAUCUAACCAGAAAGCCACGGCUAACUACGUGCCAGCAGCCGCGGUAAUACGUAGGUGGCAAGCGUUAUCCGGAUUUAUUGGGCGUAAAGGGAACGCAGACGGUCUUUUAAGUCUGAUGCGAAAACCUUCGGCUUAACCGGAGUAGUGCAUUGGAAACU
Molecule: ribosomal RNA, 305 nt
Filed under: uncultured bacterium
Lineage: Bacteria
Description: bacterial SSU rRNA
Rfam family: Bacterial small subunit ribosomal RNA
Source: RNAcentral